RNAcentral lists this ribosomal RNA (653 nucleotides) under uncultured bacterium. Its description in RNAcentral is "bacterial SSU rRNA". It matches the Rfam family "Bacterial small subunit ribosomal RNA", at positions 202 to 842 of the family's 1533-position model. The record is from RNAcentral.
AAAAGGUGGCUAUGCUACCGCUUUUGGAUGGGCCCGCGGCGCAUUAGCUAGUUGGUGGGGUAAAGGCUUACCAAGGCAAUGAUGCGUAGCCGAACUGAGAGGUUGAUCGGCCACAUUGGGACUGAGACACGGCCCAAACUCCUACGGGAGGCAGCAGUAGGGAAUCUUCCACAAUGGGCGAAAGCCUGAUGGAGCAACGCCGCGUGGGUGAAGAAGGUCUUCGGAUCGUAAAACCCUGUUGUUAGAGAAGAAAGUGCGUGAGAGUAACUGUUCACGUUUCGACGGUAUCUAACCAGAAAGCCACGGCUAACUACGUGCCAGCAGCCGCGGUAAUACGUAGGUGGCAAGCGUUAUCCGGAUUUAUUGGGCGUAAAGGGAACGCAGGCGGUCUUUUAAGUCUGAUGUGAAAGCCUUCGGCUUAACCGGAGUAGUGCAUUGGAAACUGGGAGACUUGAGUGCAGAAGAGGAGAGUGGAACUCCAUGUGUAGCGGUGAAAUGCGUAGAUAUAUGGAAGAACACCAGUGGCGAAAGCGGCUCUCUGGUCUGUAACUGACGCUGAGGUUCGAAAGCGUGGGUAGCAAACAGGAUUAGAUACCCUGGUAGUCCACGCCGUAAACGAUGAAUGCUAAGUGUUGGGGGGUUUCCGCCCUUCA